RNAcentral lists this ribosomal RNA (261 nucleotides) under uncultured archaeon. RNAcentral describes it as "partial 16S ribosomal RNA". It matches the Rfam family "Archaeal small subunit ribosomal RNA", at positions 748 to 1009 of the family's 1478-position model. The record is from RNAcentral.
CAGCCGUAAACUAUGCUCGCUAGGUGUCAGGCAUGGCGCGACCGUGUCUGGUGCCGCAGGGAAGCCGUGAAGCGAGCCACCUGGGAAGUACGGCCGCAAGGCUGAAACUUAAAGGAAUUGGCGGGGGAGCACAACAACGGGUGGAGCCUGCGGUUUAAUUGGACUCAACGCCGGGAAGCUCACCGGAUAGGACAGCGGAAUGAUUGCCGGGCUGAAGACCCUGCAUGACUAGCUGAGAGGUGGUGCAUGGCGUAGACGUCU